AGGGGGAGGAGGUCAUUUCUGCUCCACUGCUAGCCACCUGUCCCCACAGAGCUGCCCUUGGCUCUGUUCAGACCCACAGUGGACUUGGCCUAUGUUUCUGGGACCACCAACAAAUGAACCCGGGCUUGAGGAAAUUUAAGCAAGUCACUGGAUCCAGCCCUCACACAAGAAGCAUAUAUUACCUAGGGAGUGGACAGGAAGAGCUAACGACCAUUGGAAGCAUUUUGGAAGGCUGGUGAUUACAACCUGCUCCAGAUGAAGUAGUUUUGGGUCUGGGUUUAAUACCAUAAUACAAGGAAAACUUGAAAGGUGGCUGAACUAUAUCAGGGUGGCAAAUCCAAUGGCCUGAGGGAGUCUGAAAGAAUUCAGCAUGAGGCAAACCGGCAAGGAGUGAGUUUAUUAGUAUGGGAUACACUUGAGAAGUACAAGUGGGCUGGCAAAGGAAUACAGCAGCCCCAAGAACAAAGAGAGCUCCAUUUUUAUCAUCAAAGAAAAAGUGGGAAGAGAAGACGACAAUCUCCUCAUUUUGUGUAGACAUCAAGGCUUUCAUCAUUUGUUGUCCCUUUGGCCCUAUGUGGUCUAACCAGGACUGUUAGGGCGCUAUUUAAAUCAUCUGUGUAUUAGCAAAAAGGUGGUAACAUACACUAAAACAUGAUAAUUCAUCUCAGAUUUCGGUAUAAAUGUCCCCUU
This is a long non-coding RNA of Phacochoerus africanus (Common warthog), 690 nucleotides long. RefSeq lists it as uncharacterized. The record is from RefSeq and is a predicted model, not a curated record. NCBI's taxonomy places the organism in Eukaryota, Metazoa, Chordata, Mammalia, Artiodactyla, Suidae. The transcript is spliced from 3 exons.